UGCAAUUGUUACUUUGCAUGUUUUUACCUUAUACUUAUUUACUGCUUGCAAAUGAUUAGCGUGCUAGCUAGUGGUUAGCGUGCUAGCUAGCGGUUUAGCAUAAUUGGUAAACAUAUAUCUUUGAUUCAGAAUACAUGAUUGUGGUUAAACCAAUGUUACAUGCAUUGGAAAAUAAUAUUGCCAGUGUAACUUGAAUUGGUAUACAAGCUAGCUAGAAAAUCCAGUUCCUUUUCAUCUGUUUUGUCAAGUCAUAAGCAUGCAUGUGUGCCGAAAUAUUUAAAUAAAUCCCGACAUUAAAUAUAUAUUUUAAAGUUUUGGUAGUUUUUUUUAUAGCCCUUUCUUACCCAAAGAUAAAUAAGUUGCUAGUUAUUUUAGCUUUGCAUGUAAAAGAGUGAAACACCACAUGUAACUAACAGUUAAACUGUAAGUCUAUGUCGUUGUUUUUUGUUUGAAUUGUUUACGUGUUCGCUAUGCGUGGGAAAUUAUAAGACAAGCGGAACUACGUAGCUAAUAACUGUUGUAACGGGGAUCCUUAUUGUAGCAGCACACUUUUGGAGCGAAGGCAAUCCCGCGCUGUGUUAGCAAAAUUUUCAUGUCAUCGGGUGAAAUUCGUAAAGGUUGAAGUGUGUAUGUUAGGAUGGUAACAUUAUAAUAAUUAAGGAUGAAGUGUGAAUUCAUGCCAGGAAUAAUAAGGGCACUGCAGAGGCUAAGAAGACGCAUGGAAACUCUAAAAGAAACGUAAUUCAACUUGUAAACCAGAUUUCAAAAGGAAAUAAUGAAUCCCGAAGCUCAGAUGUCAGACACCGAGGCUGCCAGUACCUCUGGGUCGAUAGUCCAUGUGUUGGAUGAUGCAC
Oncorhynchus tshawytscha (Chinook salmon) is the source of this 854-nucleotide long non-coding RNA. The record is from Ensembl. NCBI's taxonomy places the organism in Eukaryota, Metazoa, Chordata, Actinopteri, Salmoniformes, Salmonidae.